This is a long non-coding RNA of Equus caballus (horse), 1633 nucleotides long. NCBI's taxonomy places the organism in Eukaryota, Metazoa, Chordata, Mammalia, Perissodactyla, Equidae. The record is from Ensembl.
GUACGCUGGGAAGGGAGAUAGGGGGUGUUGUGGGUGUGGCUGUAAUUUAAAAAGAGUGGACAAGAAGUCCUUGUUGAGAAGACGCUAUUUGAGAAGGACUGGAAGGAAGGGAGGGUGAGCCGCAUGAAGCUCGAGAGAGGAGAGGUCCAGAGAAGAGAGGUCCAGUGGAGGGACCAGUAAGUGCAAAGGCCCUGAGGCAGGAGCAAGGUUUGGAGAACACCCAGGAGGUGCAGUAGAGUGGGCCAGCGGGGAGAGGCGAACUUGAGCCAGGCAGACGGUGGUGACCUCGUGAGCUGCGGCGACGACUCUGGCUUCUACUCGGAAUGAGGUGGGGGCCAUACGAAGGUUUUACUUUUUCUUAUUAACAGCUUUAUUGACAUAUAAUUCACAUAGUAUAUGAUUCACUCACGUAAAGUGCACAAUUCAACAGAUUGAAUAUAUCCACGGUGUUGUGCCACCACCUCAACCAUCAAUUUUAGAACAUUUUUCAUCACCCCAAGAAGAAGCCUUGUACCCCUCAGCUGUCACUCCCACUCUCCCCCUGCCAGCCGGGGCAGGCACGCCUCUGCCUUCUGUCCCCACAGAUCGGCCUGUUCUGGACGGUUCACUCGCGUGGAAUCCUACAACACGCGGCCUUUUGUGUCCGGCUGCUCUCACUCAGGGUAAUUUUCAAGCUGAGGGCCGUUUGGGUUGUUUCCACCUUCUGGCUGCUGUGACUAGCGCCGUAAUGGCCACGGGGUGCAAGCGUUCGUGGGGACACAGUCUUCAUUUCUCGGGAGUACACCCAGCAGUGGACCAGCCGUUUCCAGACUCUUCUCCCAGCCCAACCCGCAGCGCACGAGAGCUGCCAUUCCUCCACAUCUGUGCGACAGUCGCGGGCUGUCUUCUGACCCUGGGAGGCUCGGAGCCGAGCAGCAGAGUCACCUGACCAGGUUGUUGCAGAACCUUCUGACGUCCGUGCUGACCACGCUUUACUAUCACUCAUCUCCCUUCUUCUGAGUUCGUGUCUUUCCUCAUCCCAGCCCGGCCUCUUUCUAAAUCGUGAUGGUCUUUUCUCCCGCUUCGGAGGUCACCCUGCCCCCACCAUCGGAAGCAACUCCCCUCAGCGAGGUCACAGCUGGUCACAUGUGUCAAACGUCCUUUCAUCUCUGCCUUUCUCUUGUCAAGUGAUGGCGCUGCGUGACACAAGGGCCUUCCUGCUGCGGCCUUGGGGCUCUCUGGGGUAAGCGCCAUGCACAUCCAGACCUUGAAGUCUUAGUAAUAAAUAAAAGCCAGAUUGGAUGACAUGGUCAAGGCGAGUUGGUCCUUGCUGAGGGAUGCCGGUGUCAAGGAAGGGGGUGCAUCGGGGCCAGGGCGCACCCCAGAUUUUAGUGAAUGGGUUAAUUCCCAAGAAAUACAAAAGCGAUUAAAAAUAAAUAAUCCCUACAGCUGAUGGCCAUUGAAAGCUUUAAGGAAUUCAAGGAAACAUAUUAAUUAAUUAAUCAGAGAGUUACUUGACUGAUUAAUGAAUGAAUGAAUUAGCUAACUCAUGUACUAGGUGCUAGGUAUUGUUCCAGAUGCUGGGGACACAUAUAUUAGCAAAAACAGACCCGUUUCUCUCUCUUGGGAGCUGGGGAGACGAGGAAGUAAACAG